GACGAACGCUCGCGGCGUGCUUAACACAUGCAAGUCGAACGGAAAGGCCCCUUUGGGGGUACUCGAGUGGCGAACGGGUGAGUAACACGUGAGUAACCUGCCCUUGACUUCGGGAUAACUUCAGGAAACUGGGGCUAAUACCGGAUAGGAAUCCUUGCUGCAUGGUGGGGGUUGGAAAGCUUCGGCGGUUUUGGAUGGACUCGCGGCUUAUCAGCUUGUUGGUGGGGUAGUGGCUUACCAAGGCUUUGACGGGUAGCCGGCCUAAGAGGGCGACCGGCCACAUUGGGACUGAGAUACGGCCCAGACUCCUACGGGAGGCAGCAGUGGGGAAUAUUGCACAAUGGGCGGAAGCCUGAUGCAGCAACGCCGCGUGCGGGAUGACGGCCUUCGGGUUGUAAACCGCUUUCAGCAGGGGCGAAGCUUGUGGUGACGGUACCUGCAGAAGAAGCACCGGCUAACUACGUG
This 465-nucleotide ribosomal RNA is filed under the name uncultured bacterium. RNAcentral describes it as "partial 16S ribosomal RNA". It matches the Rfam family "Bacterial small subunit ribosomal RNA", at positions 28 to 507 of the family's 1533-position model. The record is from RNAcentral.